RNAcentral lists this unclassified non-coding RNA (332 nucleotides) under soil metagenome. RNAcentral describes it as "partial contains 5.8S ribosomal RNA, internal transcribed spacer 2, and large subunit ribosomal RNA". The stretch from base 1 to 120 matches the Rfam family "5.8S ribosomal RNA", at positions 35 to 154 of the family's 154-position model. The record is from RNAcentral.
GAUGAAGAACGUAGCAAAAUGCGAUAAGUAAUGUGAAUUGCAGAAUUCAGUGAAUCAUCGAAUCUUUGAACGCACAUUGCGCCCGCCAGUAUUCUGGCGGGCAUGCUUGUUCGAGCGUCAUUUCAACCCUCAAGCACAGCUUGGUGUUGGGACUCGCGUUAAUUCGCGUUCCUCAAAUUGAUUGGCGGUCACGUCGAGCUUCCAUAGCGUAGUAGUAAAACCCUCGUUACUGGUGAUCGUCGCGGCCACGCCGUUAAACCCCAACUUCUGAAUGUUGACCUCGGAUCAGGUAGGAAUACCCGCUGAACUUAAGCAUAUCAAUAAGCGGAGGA